AAUAGGAUAACUUUAAAGAAAGAAGUUGCUUGAGUGAGCAAAGUUGGCAAGCAAAAGAACUUAGCAUUCCAUAGAUCAAACUGUAAAGCCAAAAUAAAAGUAAGUUUGGUCACAAGGUGGGAUCCAUAUCUUGAUACCUACAUUUUUUAUUGUACUCUCAUUAUUAUUUUUGAUGUAUCUUGUUUAUGCUACUUAUUCUAUAUUCCUCUUUUUUCUGUCAAAGUGUAAAGCAUAUUUUUACCGAAACAUUGACUGUUUUUUGUGCAUUUGUGUUGCACUUAUUCUUUUUUUCUCUAUGCUAUUUUUGAUAAGGGGAGAUUAGGACACACAAUGUCGAAUACAUAGGAUUUAGCACAUAUUGGACUUUCUAAAAAUUUAUAGACCAAUGCCUUCAUCCAAACUUUUUCCCUUUCAUCCAAGCACUUUUUGAAUGGUAACUUUUUCCCUUUCAUCCAAGCACUUUUUGAAUGGUGAGACUGAUCUAUAUAAAUUUGCAAAUAGCAAAACCUUAGUAGGAGCAAGUCCACAAAAUACGCAUAAAGGUUUCUAGAGAAAACUAGAAGUAGCAGCUUUAAAUAUUAGUGAUACAUUAUUUUGGGUUAUGGUUGUUGAUUUGUGGAAAAAAUUAUCACGACACUUAAAGAUGCAUGUUUUUUGUCAAACACAAUGUAGUCUCCAUUUAUGGGGUUCAGUACUGAUCAAAAAGCAUGGAAAAUUGUGGCCUAAUAAGCUGCACGUGUUUCUUAUGAUUGUGCAUGAUUUGGAGAAUUCAAAGCUUGACAUAUCAUUCAAACAAAUGACAGGGAAUGUACUGUACGAAGGAAAAACAAAUAGAAAUGUAAGUCGAGGAUCAGAGUAAUGAUGUUGCCCUUCUUUUGUUUCCUACUGUUUAUCCAAUGCAUGUUCAUUAUUACUCUGUACAGAAACAAUUCCAAUUACUAUUUGUACGUCUAUAGUGUUAUGGAACAUACAAUAGUUUGUUGGGGACACCAAAGCAAUUCACAAAUAUAUGUUCUCAAGUAAUUAUGAUGUGCAAUCAUAAGAAGUUAUAAGGAAACAGGUAUAAUAGGUCAAGGAAUAGUCGGGUUAUCAUAACUUGAGCGAUUUUUUGUUUGGCUGCUAACAAAUAAGCACAUGACAAUUAAUUCAAAGCAACCAACGCAAACACGGAUUAAGAGUAAUGCAUCGCACAGAAGAGGCCUGAGGUCACACCUUCCCCUUGGAUAGAGAAUGCCCACGGUGCGUCUCACGUUUGCUCUGCUUCAGCUUCAUCUCCGAGUGCUUCCCCUGAAUGAAGGCAAAAAAAACUCAGAUCAGGUCACCAGACCAGAGAGAUCACCCCGAUAUGGCUUUCUAAAUAAUUUGUUAAAGCCCGUGAAAGUACAGCUGGUACCUCUUCUGAGAUGUCUAGGGUUCAAAAAAGCGGCACUAAGGUAGCGCUAACAAGACGGGUAACCCUACGCUUUGGGCAUAAACAAUCACAGAUCGCUGCGACCACCUUGAAUAAAGAAAAAAGCUACAUUCUUAGUAUCAGCUACAACAAUGAAACCAUCUAAAGAUAUAUAUUGUACAUCAUGUACUCUUGCGGGAAGCAUCAAUCCUCAUUUGUUGCAUCUUUUUCUCCUAAAAAGAACUAAUUGUUGACGAGGUCAGGCUAUUUUACCUUACUAAGCUAGCAGCAAUAGAACCACACGAUUCCAAAAUGACUUUUAUUCCAAUUUUUUUGAAAGAACAACUUGAAAUGAAUAAGAACCAGAU
RNAcentral lists this long non-coding RNA (1758 nucleotides) under Zea mays. Its description in RNAcentral is "long non-coding RNA (ZMAY_LNC004083)". Lineage: Eukaryota; Viridiplantae; Streptophyta; Magnoliopsida; Poales; Poaceae. The record is from RNAcentral.